This 852-nucleotide long non-coding RNA is filed under the name Arachis ipaensis. Its description in RNAcentral is "long non-coding RNA (AIPA_LNC000497)". The record is from RNAcentral. Lineage: Eukaryota; Viridiplantae; Streptophyta; Magnoliopsida; Fabales; Fabaceae.
GCAUCUGCCAUGAGAGCAACAGAGAGAAAAGCUGGAGGGGAUGAGAAGCAAGAGAGACCAAUCGGCAGCGACUGUGCCUUCUUAGCGAGUAAAUCAGCACAGACAUCUCUUUAUCUACAGAUGUGAGCUAUGCGGACAUCCCGAGAUUGAGCAAGGAGCACUUUGAAGGCUGGAAGCAAGGAGGAGCUCGCAUCUCGCUCACAAGACUGGUUCUGCACAAAACAAAAAACACAGAGAGAGUUCGUUUCAACUAAGAGUUUUUUAAUACCAAAUCGAAGGCUAAUUUAAUGGCCACAUACUACCCUCAAAUUUCGGCCAAGGUAAUCGAGCAUUUUUCCAGAUUUAGCAUGAACCCCGCAGUGAUCCUACCCUGGUUAUCACGGAUCAGACCACCACAGCUUGUCGCACUCGACAGAAGGGAGACAAAUCCAUCAAUGUUCAACUUGGACCAGUCCUCUAAGGGGGUUCGUGCUAAUCGUUGCACGACCUGCUUUCAAAAUAUAGAGACACUCUUCGUAAUUCCUAGUCAGGUAAGUAGCUCGAUUGAACAAACUGUCUAGAUUGGAGUGAGUUUGUUAGAAGUUACAGUUAGUAAUAAAAAGAAAAAGCCAACUAGUUCCAUUUCUCUUGUGAAGACUCCAAAGAUUUUCUUUCAGCCAGGUUUGGAAAUCCAACUAAAAGAAAUGGUUCUAAGAAUUUCUGUUGGUUGUUUAUCAAGCUUUUCCAAAUUUUGCUGAUGAAGGGACAGUCAUGCAUAACAUAGAGCAAGGUUUUAGUGGAGUUCUAACAUCUGGGGCAGUCAGCAACGUCGAUAAGUCUCUUUUUCGCUCUAUUUUCAUUAGUCAAAACAGC